GCAAACCUACGGGGCGCAGCAGUGGGGAAUAUUGCGCAAUGGAGGGAACCCUGACGCAGCAACGCCGCGUGAGUGAAGAAGGCCUUCGGGUUGUAAAGCUCUUUAAUCAGGGACGAAGAAUGACGGUACCUGAAGAAUAAGCUCCGGCUAACUACGUGCCAGCAGCCGCGGUAAUACGUAGGGAGCAAGCGUUAUCCGGAUUUACUGGGUGUAACGGGCGUGUAGGCGGGCCUGCAAGUCAGAAGUGAAAUCUGGGGGCUUAACCCCCAAACUGCUUUUGAAACUGUGGGUCUUG
Molecule: ribosomal RNA, 295 nt
Filed under: uncultured bacterium
Lineage: Bacteria
Description: partial 16S ribosomal RNA
Rfam family: Bacterial small subunit ribosomal RNA
Source: RNAcentral